UUUAGUUUCAAUCGCUUCUCAAUCCUGAUAAAAUUAAAACGAUACAAAGAAGAUUAACAAGAUUCAUGCGUAAAGAUGACACACAAAAUUAAUUUAGUAAAGUACGCCUAU
Prunus persica (peach) is the source of this 111-nucleotide small nuclear RNA. The record is from Rfam. Lineage: Eukaryota; Viridiplantae; Streptophyta; Magnoliopsida; Rosales; Rosaceae.